CUUAUUGAAUUUCUUAAGUUCAUGUUUCUAAUACUUAGUGCUUUGAUAAUCUUUUAUCAAGGCUUCUUGAACUUAUACACCUUUGCCUUAGAUAGUUCAUAUGUGUGUGUAAACAAUUGCCAAACCUCACAAUUCAAAUUAUGGAAAGGGAUACCGUAACCAUAAUCGAAUUCGAGAAUGCAAUUUUACAAUCACUAUCUUCUUAAAAUCUUUCUUAGUGAAAGCAUUUCCUCACAAUCAUUUUCAUGAAGGAAGAAAUCUUAUGACACUUUGAUUUAAAUGGUGUAUUUGUUCAUAUCCAUGUGAAUUUGUCAAAACCAAAGUUUACGAAAAAUUCAAACUCAUGUGGAUCGAACUUUCCUAAUCUCUAUUUCUUGUCUUAUGGUAGCACAGCUGCCCACCAUGUCUUCCAAGUAGUUAAGCAGCUCACCUUUUCUUAUCAAUUUACUUUCCGUUGAUCAAGGUCCUUGCCUUUUAUGCAUUCAAAUGAGAACUCAUAGGACUCACAUGCAUAAUUAACUCGAUUGGAUUGGCACAGAAACAAAAUAAUGUCAACACGAUAGGUUGUAAACCUCAACUCGUGUGCUAGUGAUGAUCGAUAAGGUUUAUUUGAUUUGUUCUUGAAACCUUUCAAGACCAUUAAGACUCCCACUGACUCCUUGACAUAUAAGAUUCUCUUGUCAAAACAUUUCUUGACAAACAAAUAUUCAAGAGUUAGUGUAGCUUUUAUCAAAACUCUUCAUAAAUUGGUCCUAGUUGGUCUUUGUCUAAUCUAAGACAUCACAACUUUCCACAUUUGAUGAAUGUUAUAAACCUUCUAUCACACCCAGCUAAAGCAGAAACGCAAGAUAUGACAGCGAUAACGGUUUCAUUGCAAACGAUAAAGAUACAUCACCAUAGCAGUAUUUAAAAGUUUACAACCCAUAGAUUAAAAAGAAACAAAGUACAAGUUUUUCCAAAACAACAUUGUUCAAAAUAUAACUUCAUAAUAGCUUCAACACGAUGCAGCAUGCUCUAUGAUGAUGAAUCUUUACAUCAACUUACUAAUUAUUUUCUGAAAAGCAUGUAAAACGAGCAUCAAAUAUGAAAAUAGUUGGUGAGUUCACAAGUUUAUAAAAUCGAGCUUGAAAUAAGGCUUUUCGUAAAUACAAGUACAUUGCUUUAAUGAUAAACAAGGUUGAUUGCUAUUAAUGAAUACACGUUUAUUGCUAUAACGAGAAAUGAGUUUGUAUGUAUAUGAGAAAACAAUGAGUCUCAACCAAACCUAUGAUUGAAGUCCUAUCGAGAUCUAUGCUUAUUGUUCCAUAGAUGAAUAUGGUAUCAUGCACUCCAGCGAUUCGGGCGAGUGAGGAGUUGUCAAUUCCUAAUAGCGCUAUCCAUAAUGACCAUUGGCUCAAAGAGUUAAUGGUUAGAGAUAAGGGAAGGGCCUUAGUACGAUAAGUUCUCAUGUUCCGUGUUGCAUAGACAUACAUAAAGAAACAUAGCAAUACAAUAGCAAUCAUGUUUGAUAAUAACCAAUUUAAAUACAACAUGCAAAUUAUAGUUUUUCUGGACAUGCUUUUCCACCCCAAAACAUAAAAACUGAAAAUAGGGGAGUGCGUGAAUACUCACAAUGUUUCGAGUAGGUACAAGUGGUACUUCGGAAUGCACCAACGUCUUACUACCGGGAUCCUACGACAUCAAACACACACUAGUGAGUUUCCAUGUCGAAAUCUAAUGCUAAUAUACUAAAUUCUACAUAUAGUGAAAUGCCAAUUUAUGUUUUAGUAUUUGAUUUUAUAUUAAUUGGUUACACUUUUUCUGAAAUAACGAAAUUCUACAAGUCGUGCGAUUAAUUACAACUUUGGAAUAUAAAUUUUCCAAAUUUUUAAGUCUUUAUAACAACAUAAAUUCAUGAAAAAUAGCAUUCAAAGGAUAAAAGUUCUCAAACUUUUUAUUUAUCUGAUAUUACACAAUACUAAGCUGGGAAAGAUAUAAAAAUGGAUUUCCAAGCUGUUUAAUUAUAUUUUAUGAUUUUUGAGAAUUUAUUCCAAUAAAAAUUUAAAUAAAUAUAAAACAGUUUCCAAAAUUACCCUAACUUUUUAUUUAACUGUUAUUGGACAUAAAUAUGCUGGUAAAAAUAUAAAAGAUAUUUUUCAGUGGGUAUUUCUAUUUUUCCUUGUUUUAUUCCUUUAAAUAAUCAUUAAUUGAAGAAAUAAUACUAAACAGUUAAAAUAAAUUACCAAAAUUUUUUGUAACAUCAUCUACAGUAUAAAUAACCUGGGACAAAUAUCAAAAGUGGUUUUGAUAAUGUAUAAUCUGGUUUUGGGUAUUUAUGUGUAAUUAACAUUAGAAAAUAACAGAAAAAUAGUUUACAGUAGAGACAAAUCCUCAAAAUUUUUAUGUAACCUCCUACUGUACAAUAUGAUGUCAUGGUAAAUUUUCCUGAAUUUUGGAUAAUCAGAACUAUUUUUCCCAUUUUAAAACAAUUAUAAUUACCAAAAAUCAGAAAAAAUAGCAAGGCAUGAUGAAAAAUUUGGACAUUAUUUUGCUGAGUCACCCAUCACAGGUAAUGUAUACGAAAAUUGUUAGAUAAAAUUUUUACACUUUCUAAAGUGGCUUUGUGAUUUAUUAUAUCUUAACAAAAAGAAAAUUGAAAAUCAUACCAACAGCAACAAAAAUUGAUGAAAUUUAGUGAGGAGUCAUUAUCCGUCAUAAGGGUCAUCCACGAAUUUUUUCCGGAUUUAUUGACCUCUGGAAAUAUUUUAUGUGAUUUAUGCCCUUGGUUUCUAGCAAUAAUUUUAAUAAAUCAAAGAAAUAAUAAAAACCUUUGGUAUUUUACAGAUUAUCACAUGCAUGUGAGGGCUUUCAAAAUGAAAAAUGUUCAAAAUUUAUUCAGAAGGGAAAUAGGGGUAUUGAACCCAAACAAGUUAAGAAAUGUUGCAUGCAAUAGUGCAUGAAAUGUAAAUGUGGCUGAAGUUCAUGAAUUUGUGUAGCCCAUUCAGUGAGGAUUUAAGCCACGAAAUUUCAGCCAUCAUUCACUGGACAUGUUAAGUUCCUAAAGAAUUUUCCCCCAGAUUUAUGGUUGGGUUUAAGGGCAUUGAUCAUGCAAGGAAAAAAUGGUGAUCACAGAAAAAGAGUUGUUUGCGCAACUAUUUUGUAAAAAUUGCCCAAACUCGGAUAUUUAAUAUUUUACAGUGAGACCAGUUGGGUUUGAAAUUUAACUCAUGGUACUAUCCAAUACAAAAAGAAUAUCAUGAUAUGGUUAAGUAAUGACCGAGUUAUGGUCGUUCAAAGUUGAACAAAGUAAUCUGGCAGAUUGCAUGUUUGCUUUGAGUGCAUUCUUAAGAUAUUUUGACAAGAACAUCAUGCAUGCCUUUGUUAAGGUCUGAUUUCUAGCACAUGCAUGGAGUGAAUGAGCAUCCAAGAUGUACUAGAAAUGGUUUAAAUGCUUUUGAUCAUGUAAGAACACAAAAGAAAUGGAGAAGAAGAUGUAAUACUUGGUUUUGAAGUCACAUGGACAUAUGUGCAUCAUUUUCACUCCUUGCAUGGGUUUGAUCCCGGAUUUUCACCAUUUCAAACACAUGCAUUGUGUUACGAUGAGAAUCUACAAACUACAACGGAAAAAUAAGGAUUUCUAGCCAUGGAAAGGCAUAGAAUCCGAAAAAAAAAAGAGAAAACUAAGAAGAAGAAGGAGUAAAAAUCAUGAAACUAUGAGAGAGGAUUGUGUUGUUUACCUUGGUUUUGACCUUGAGAGAAGUAAGAACACUUGAAGCCUCCUAAAUCUCGAAAUAUGGAAGAGGAAGGGAGGAUUUCGUGAGUUAGAGAGAGAAAGGAAGAGAGUUUGUGUGAGAGGAGAGUGGAGUGUAAGAGAGUGAAGAGAGAAGAGGAAGUGUGAGGGUUUUGACUUAAUGAUUGUGUUUUGGGAAGAGAGAGUGCAUGGGGAGGGGAGAUGGCCGGCUCUAUCAUGCAUUAGGCCUCCUCUCUCCAAAAUUUUCAAAUUUUAUAAAAUUCCCUCUAUUUUCUUUAUAAAAACCCUAAUUUUAUAAAAGUGUUUAUUAAGCAAAUUUGAUUUAUUUAAAAAUCUUGUUUUUAACUAAUAAAUUAUGAUUAAUACUUGAUAAUUUAAUUUCUAUUUCAUUGAUUAUAAUUCAUAAUUUGAUUAAUAAAAAUUUGAUAUUAGAAAGUUUAUAGCCAAAUUUUAUAAAGUUUUUAAGCUUUAUAAUUUAUAAGUUUGGAUUUUUAGCUCUUUUAGGGUUUUGGAAUAUUGUUUGAUAUUCAUCAUCAUAAUGAAGUAUAAUUAGAAUAUUUUAAUUUAUUUUUAGGGUUUUAUACCCUUUUUCAAUUAUAACUAAGCUUGAAAGUUUCAUUCAAAUUAUCGCAUUGGCAUUUCCUAUUGUAGUUAAGCAACUUACUAGAAUUGUAAGUGUCAAGUAUAUUAGUCCUAGAUCUUAGUUGGAUCCUAGUUUAUGCAAGAUUUUGACCUAAUCUAUACUACUAGGCCAUGGCAUGUUGUGCAUGAAUGGUUUUUAUAAAGAUGCAUGAGUCCGAGAAUGACCUAAAUUUGACAGUUGUCAUAGUAUCCCCCACUUAAAAAGAAUUUCGUUCCGAAAUUCCUUAUAUGUCAUCACUUGUCAUCGCAUGGGAAAAGUUGUGGAUACUUUUCCUUCAUGAAGUCCUCACGCUCCCAGGUGUACUCCGGACCGCGUUUUGAGUUCCAUCGAACUUUCACAAUCGGGAUCUUACUCCGCUUAAGUUGUUUUACCUCCCUGUCAAGGAUUUCUAUCGGUUCCUCAAUGAAGUUUAGCUUAUCAUUGAUCUUAAUUUUCUCUAGGGGUACUAUUAAUGCUUCGUUGGCUAGACAUUUCUUAAGAUUGGAGACGUGGAAUGCGUCGUGAAUGGCGCUUAACUCUUGGGGCAACUGGAGUUUAUAAGCUACCGGACCAAUCCUUUCAAUGACUUCAAAGGGUCCAACAUAUCUCGGGCUUAGUUUUCCUUUCUUACCAAAACGCACAAGCCCUUUCCAAGGCGACACUUUUAAAAGUACCUUGUCUCCUACUUGGAAUUCUAAUGGUUUUCGACGAUUAUCCGCAUAACUUUUCUGACGAUCUCUAGCAGCUUUAAGCUUAUCCUUGAUGAUAGCAAUCUUGUCAGAUGUUUCCUGGAUAAGUUCGACUCUAGUCAACUGUCUGUCUCCGAUUUCUGUCCAGCAUAAGGGCGAACGACACUUGCGUCCAUACAAUGCUUCAUAUGGAGCACAUUGGAUACUCGUGUGGUAACUGUUAUUGUAGGAAAACUCAAUUAGAGGCAAAUGAGUAUCCCAAUUUCCUUUGAACUCAAUGACACACGCUCGUAGCAUGUCUUCCAAUGUUUGUAUUGUUCUCUCUGUUUGCCCAUCUGUCUGAGGGUGGUAAGUUGUGCUCAAAUCUAUCUUGGUUCCUAGUGCCCUCUGUAACAUCCACCAAAAUCGUGAUGUAAAACGACUAUCUCUAUCAGAAAUGAUAGAUAGGGGUACACCAUGCAGAGAAACAAUUUUGUCGAUGUAGAUUUGGGCCAAUUUUUCCAUCUUGAAAUCUUCCCGGAUGGGGAGAAAGUGAGCAGAUUUCGUUAGUCGAUCCACUAUGACCCAAAUUGAGUCGUGACCUUUAGCAGUUCUAGGAAGUUUGGUAACGAAAUCCAUAGAUAUUUGCUCCCAUUUCCAUUGGGGAAUUUCAGGUUGUUGCAACAGCCCGAAUGGUUUUUGAUGUUCAGCUUUGACUAUUGAGCAUGUCAAACACUUCCCGACAUACAAGGCAAUAUCCUUUUUCAUUCCAGGCCACCAAUAGUACUUUUUAAGAUCCUUGUACAUCUUAUCCGCUCCAGGGUGGAUUGAGUAUUUAGAUCGAUGAGACUCCUCUAAUACCAUAUCUCUCAGAUUGCUAACCCUUGGAAUCCAGACCCUGUCCUUAAAAUAACGAACUCCAUCAGGUUUGGAUUCAAAUCUCUCUUCCAAACCAUGUAAAGUCUCGCCUGCAAGAUUUUCCUUGAAUAACGCUUUCUCUUGGGCAUCAAUGAUUUGAGAUUUCAAGCUUGUCUGAAUUACCAUUCCCAAAGCUCUCACACAUGAAGGUUUCACUCUUUCUUUCCUACUAAGAGCGUCGGCUACUAUGUUAGCCUUUCCUGAGUGAUAUCGUAUCUCACAAUCAUAAUCACUAAACAACUCUACCCAUCUUCUCUGCCGCAUGUUUAACAUUUUCUGAUCCAGGAUAUGCUGAAGGCUUUUGCGAUCGGUAUAAAUGGUGCACUUGGUUCCGUACAAAUAAUGCCUCCAUAUCUUAAGAGCGAAAACCAUUGCUCCUAGUUGUAGAUCAUGGGUGGUAUAAUUCUUCUCGUGCGGUUUGAGUUGUCUGGAAGCAUAUGCAAUGACCUUAUCUUUUUGCAUUAGCACACAUCCUAAUCCUUGAUGAGACGCAUCACAAUACACCACAAAGUUCUCUAAUCCUUCUGGUAAAGCCAGAAUUGGUGCAUUGCACAGCUUGUUUUUCAGGAUUUGAAACGCCUCUUCGUGUUUCUCUUCCCAGAGAAAUUUUCUAUCCUUUUGGGUCAAAGAUGUUAAUGGUUGAGCAAUCCUAGAGAAAUUCUCAAUGAAGCGUCUGUAGUACCCAGCUAAUCCUAGGAAUUGUCGUAUUUCUGUCGGGGUUUUGGGGGCCUCCCAUUUCUUGAUUGCCUCUAUCUUAGCUGGAUCUACAUGGAUUCCUCUUUCGCCGAUCACAUGACCAAGAAAAUGUACUUCCCGAAUCCAAAAUUCACACUUAGUGAACUUGGCAUACAAUUUCUGUUCCUUCAACAGCUCCAACACUAGCUUUAGAUGUCUAUUGUGAUCUUCUUUGGUCCGCGAGUAAACAAGUAUGUCAUCGAUAAAUACAAUUACAAACCUGUCUAGGUAUGGUCUACAGACCCUAUUCAUCAAAUCCAUGAAUACAGCGGGUGCGUUCGUUAGUCCAAAAGGCAUGACUAAGAACUCAUAAUGUCCAUAACGGGUUCUAAAUGCUGUUUUGUGAAUGUCCUCUUCGUGAAUUCUUAGCUGAUGAUACCCUGACCGAAGGUCGAUUUUUGAGAAGUAGGAAGCGCCCUGCAACUGAUCGAACAAGUCAUCUAUUCUAGGGAGGGGAUAUCGAUUCUUGAUUGUCAACUUGUUCAAUUCUCUGUAAUCAAUGCACAUUCGGAACGAACCAUCUUUCUUUUUGACGAAUAACACUGGGGCUCCCCAAGGUGAAGAGCUUGGUCGAAUAAACCCUUUGUCUAGAAGUUCUUGAAGUUGUCCGGAUAGUUCUUGCAUCUCGGAUGGUGCAAGGCGAUAUGGUGCUUUUGCUACCGGUGCCGCUCCGCGAAUUAAGUGUAUCCGAAAUUCGACCUGCCUGUGAGGGGGUAAACCGGGCAAUUCCUCCGGAAACACUUCGGGAUAGUUUUGAACCACCGGAAUCUCCUUGAGUUGCUUAGCUUCAGGUUCUCUUUCUAGCACGUGAGCCGUGAAUGCAAUACAAUUCUUCUUCAAGUACUUGUGAAUCUUCAUGCUUGAUACUAUGUUUAAACUUCUUCCUAGCUUCUUAACGUGUAUGAUAAGGGUUUCUCCAUUAGGGAGAGGCACUCUAAUGACUUUCUCGUAACAACCAAUGUCCGCUCUAUUUUUGGAUAACCAAUCCAUUCCUACUAUCACAUCAAAACUACCUAGCUCUAUAGGAAUUAGGUCAAUGCUAAAGAGUUUAUCAGCUAAAUUCAGAGUACAACCAGGAAUUAUAUCACUAGCCCUAAUUUCAUACCCAUCAGCAAGUUCAAUAGCAUAAGCAUUCCUCAUCUUUACCGAUUUCAAGCCAAUUAACGGUCUAAAUGCUAAAGAAACAAAACUCCUAUCUGCUCCCGCAUCGAAUAUUACUGAUGCAAAAUGGUUGUUCAGGAGGAACGUACCUGUUAUCACUUCAGGGUUCUGACGAGCUUCUUCUGCACCAAUCACAAAGGCUACACCUCUUGGCCGUCCAACUUGAUUUCCUUGGAAGUUUUGCCUGGCUUGGCCUUGUCCAUUGUUAUCAGGUCCUUUGUUCAGUUUGGGACAUGCUCUACGGAGAUGAUCAGUACUCCCGCACUCGUAACAUGCCCUUUUUCCUUCCUUAUUCAUCUUACAAUACUUCGAGUAAUGGCCUGUUUGCUUACAGUUUUGACAUACUGGGCAAGCUCCCUUGUGAUGAAAGUUACACUUAUUGCACUUCGGAAGCGGUCCUGAGUACUGCUUUCGCUCCUGCACUUCCUGUUCUUGAGUUUUCACUGGUUCUUGCUCCUGGGCUCUUACCAUAAAGUUUCUUGAGACUUUCUGCUUCCUCCCUGACUUGCCUCCAUACUUCUUCUCUCCCUGAUCUGCUGGCUUCCUCUUACUACUAGAGCUUUUCUUUGUCGAUGCUCCCAUCCUUAUCACAUCAUUGGUUAGUCAAUUUGCUAGACUUACUGCACUUUGAAUAGUAGUUGGGUUUGCUGAGGUAACCAUUCCCCGAAUCUCUGGUGCCAGAUCCCAGAUGUAACGAUCUAUCUGUUUCUCGUCAGGAGUAACCAUGUGAGGUACCAGUUUUGCUAGUUCAUGAAAUCGGACUGUGUACUUCUCUAUUAGUGUUCCAACCAUAGAAUGGUUCCAGAAUUCAGAUUCAAGCUUCUGAAGUUCAUCCUUGGGACAAUACUCCUCUAUCAGUAGCUUCUUUAGGUCUUCCCAAGUUAGUUGAUAUGCUGUCGUACGGCCUCGGGUUUGCACUAGAGUAUUCCACCAGGUUAAUGCCCUAUCUUGGAGUAGGCAAGAUGCAUACUCAACUUUGUUGCGCUCGAGGCAUUUACUAAUGUGAAGGACCGACUCCAUGCUGUCAAUCCAUUUCAGCAACCCGACCGCACCUUCCUUUCCGUGGAAUUCCUUAGGUUUACAGGCCAUAAAGGACUUGUAGUUGCAUUCUCUUUCAUUGUUUCCCCGGUUUCCUCCACUACUUCCUUGGUUAGCAUUAAGUCUUGCAGUUACUUGAGUAACAAUGUUUGGGAUUGCUUCCACGAGUUGUUGUGCUACAACUUUAGCAACAUCGGGUGUUUCGUUCUGUGGGCGCCCGCGAUUAGGCUUUCUUGACAUGGUUCUAUUACACAAGAGUAGAAAUACGUAUAGUGAAAUGCCAAUUUAUGUUUUAGUAUUUGAUUUUAUAUUAAUUGGUUACACUUUUUCUGAAAUAAGUCGUGCGAUUAAUUACAACUUUGGAAUAUAAAUUUUCCAAAUUUUUAAGUCUUUAUAACAACAUAAAUUCACGAAAAAUAGCAUUCAAAGGAUAAAAAUUCUCAAACUUUUUAUUUAUCUGAUAUUACACAAUACUAAGCUGGGAAAGAUAUAAAAAUGGAUUUCCAAGCUGUUUAAUUAUAUUUUAUGAUUUUUGAGCAUUUAUUCCAAUAAAAAUUGAAAUAAAUAUAAAACAGUUUCCAAAAUUACCCAAACUUUUUAUUUAACUGUUAUUGUACAUAAAUAUGCUGGGAAAAAUAUAAAAGAUAUUUUUCAGUGGGUAUUUCUAUUUUUCCUUGUUUUAUUCCUUUAAAUAAUCAUUAAUUGAAGAAAUAAUACUAAACAGUUAAAAUAAAUUACCAAAAUUUUUUGUAACAUCAUCUACAGUAUAAAUAACCUGGGAAAAAUAUCAAAAGUGGUUUUGAUAAUGUAUAAUCUGGUUUUGGGUAUUUAUGUGUAAUUAACAUUAGAAAAUAACAGAAAAAUAGUUUACAGUAGAGACAAAUCCUCAAAAUUUUUAUGUAACCUCCUACUGUACAAUAUGAUGUCAUGGUAAAUUUUCCUGAAUUUUGGAUAAUCAGAACUAGUUUUCCCAUUUUAAAACCAUUAUAAUUACCAAAAAUCGGGAAAAAUAGCAAGGCAUGAUGAAAAAUUUUGAAAUUAUUUUGCUGAGUCACCCAUCACAGGUAAAGUAUACGAAAAUUGUUAGAUAAAAUUUUUACACUCUCUAAAGUGGUUUUGUGAUUUAUUAUAUCUUAACAAAAAGAAAAUCGGAAAUCAUACCAAACAGCAACAAAAAUUGAUGAAAUUUAGUGAGAGUCAUUAUCCGUCAUAAGGGUCAUCCAUGAAUUUGUUCCGGAUUUAUUGACCUCUGGAAGUAUUUUAUGUGAUUUAUGCCCUUGGUUUCUAGCAAUAAUUUUAAUAAAUCAAAGAAAUAAUAAAAACUUUUGGUAUUUUACAGAUUAUCACAUGCAUGUGAGGGCUUUCAAAAGGAAAAAUGUUCAAAAUUUAUUCAGAAGGUAAAUAGGGGUAUUGAACCCAUUCAGUGAGGUUUUAAGCCACGAAUUUUCAGCCAUCAUUCACUGGAUAUGUUAAGUUCCUAAAGAACUUUCCCCCAGAUUUAUGGUUGGGUUUAAGGCCAUUGAUCAUGCAAGGAAAAAAUGGUGAUCACAGAAAAAGAGUUGUUUGCGCAACUAUUUUGUAAAAAUUGCCCAAACUCGGAUAUUUAAUAUUUUACAGUGAGACCAGUUGGGUUUGAAAUUUAACUCAUGGUACUAUCCAAUAAAAAAAGAAUAUCAUGAUUUGGUUAAGUAAUGACCGAGUUAUGGUCGUUCAAAGUUGAACAAAGUAAUCUGGCAGAUUGCAUGUUUGCUUUGAGUGCAUUCUUAAGAUAUUUUGACAAGAACAUCAUGCAUACCUUUGUUAAGGUCUGAUUUCUAGCACAUGCAUGGAGUGAAUGAGCAUCCAAGAUGUACUAGAAAUGGUUUAAAUGCUUUUGAUCAUGUAAAAACACAAAAGAAAUGGAGAAGAAGAUGUAAUAAUUGGUUUUGAAGUCACAUGGACAUAUGUGCAUCAUUUUCACUCCUCGCAUGGGUUUGAUCCCGGAUUUUCACCAUUUCAAACACAUGCAUUGUGUUACAGUGAGAAUCUACAAACUACAAUGGAAAAAUAAGGAUUUCUAGCCAUGGAAAGGCAUAGAAUCCGAAAAGAAGAGAAAACUAAGAAGAAGAAGGAGUAAAAAUCAUGAAACUAUGAGAGAGGAUUGUGUUGUUUACCUUGGUUUUGACCUUGAGAGAAGUAAGAACACUUGAAGCCUCCUAAAUCUCGAAAUAUGGAAGAGGAAGGGAGGAUUUCGUGGGUUAGAGAGAGAAAGGAAGAGAGUUUGUAUGAGAGGAGAGUGGAGUGUAAGAGAGUGAAGAGAGAAGAGGAAGUGUGAGGGUUUUGACUUAAUGAUUGUGUUUUGGGAAGAGAGAGUGCAUGGGGAGGGGAGAUGGCCGGAUCUAUCAUGCAUUAGGCCUCCUCUCUUCAAAAUUUUCAAAUUUUAUAAAAUUCCCUCUAUUUUCUUUAUAAAAACCCUAAUUUUAUAAAAGUGUUUAUUAAGCAAAUUUGAUUUAUUUAAAAAUCUUGUUUUUAACUAAUAAAUUAUGAUUAAUACUUGAUAAUUUAAUUUCUAUUUCAUUGAUUAUAAUUCAUAAUUUGAUUAAUAAAAAUUUGAUAUUAGAAAGUUUAUAGCCAAAUUUUAUAAAGUUUUUAAGCUUUAUAAUUUAUAAGUUUGGAUUUUUAGCUCUUUUAGGGUUUUGGAAUAUUGUUUGAUAUUCAUCAUCAUAAUGAAGUAUAAUUAGAAUAUUUUAAUUUAUUUUUAGGGUUUUAUACCCUUUUUCAAUUAUAACUAAGCUUGAAAGUUUCAUUCAAAUUAUCGCAUUGGCAUUUCCUAUUGUAGUUAAGCAACUUACUAGAAUUGUAAGUGUCAAGUAUAUUAGUCCUAGAUCUUAGUUGGAUCCUAGUUUAUGCAAGAUUUUGACCUAAUCUAUACUACUAGGCCAUGGCAUGUUGUGCAUGAAUGGUUUUUAUACAGAUGCAUGAGUCCGAGAAUGACCUAAAUUUGACAGUUGUCACACCUUCUUAAUACUUUUCCACUCAAUGUCACAAUCUCAACUCUAAGACUUGUUUUGGAAUGAGGUAUGACUGACUUCUUGAUUUAACCAUUUCUUCAAUUCUUGAUUCCUCUUCUUAGACAUACAAUUGUACUAAGACUCACUUAGAGGAUUAAUUGAGAUAUGGUUCUUAAUCAUUAAGUCCUAUCAUAAAGCAUAAAAGCUACUCUCCCUUCUUCUUAGAAUGGAGAAACUUUUAUCUUUCUGCCUACUUGAUUCUUCUUAUUCGUUUUGCUAUUGAUUUAAACCUUUUCAAUCAAUUCAUAAUUACACUUAAUCUUGUAAGUAUAAUCACAUCUACUAAACUUUUAGUAAAACAUGACGAAUAUCUUUGUUACUCUUAUGAUGGACUUGAUCAACA
This 12265-nucleotide long non-coding RNA is filed under the name Lactuca sativa (garden lettuce). RNAcentral describes it as "long non-coding RNA (LSAT_LNC008223)". The record is from RNAcentral. Lineage: Eukaryota; Viridiplantae; Streptophyta; Magnoliopsida; Asterales; Asteraceae.